This 781-nucleotide long non-coding RNA is filed under the name Coturnix japonica (Japanese quail). Its description in RNAcentral is "lncRNA (ENSCJPG00005020125.1)". The record is from RNAcentral. Lineage: Eukaryota; Metazoa; Chordata; Aves; Galliformes; Phasianidae.
GCCUCUUGGGGAGGAUGUGAAUGUAUUUGUGCAUUAACCCCGAAGUACAGGCGCACUCUUUCUGAUCCAGUAGAGAUGUAAUUAUUUAUACAAACUGACAUGACACAAUUAGGGACAAUGAAUCAAGCUCAAGAUACUCAGUGUCUCAGUGGCUGAGAUACUUCCCCAGCGGUGGGAAAGGUAUCCUCCAUUCCAAAAGAGUGUUCUAUGCAAGAGCCUCCCCUGGCUGCAAUGUAUCUUUGAAUAUGGCUUCAACCAACACCUCAGCUCUCAACAUUUUCAAAGUACUCGUGGAUAGAGCUCUGUGCUGUUAGAAGAAUAAAGGCUUUUACUACAGUGAAAGCAAUUGUAGCUGCUUUUACCUCCUCCCACUGGACAAUUCACUUCUUAGCAAUUUGUUUCUGUUUGUUUUAUUUCUCCAGACCAGAUCUCUGAUCCCGGCUCUUUAAGUCUGGCCAAACCAAGCAGCCCAGUUCCUUUGGCAAACGUCAUUUGUUGGUGCCUGCUACUGAUUACUUUUCCCAGGACAGUAUACGCAUGGUUCAAGGAGAUGAAGAAGCCUUUGGGGUGACCUGCUGUUGUGAAAGGAAGGAAACAAAAUGAUUUGGCUUUUCUUCUCCAAGCAGGACAUCACUCUGUGCACUGAUAAAGAGCGAGAAGAUCAGCCGGUCUUACAGCUGUGGGCGUUGUUGGAGCUGCAGACAAGCUGAGCAUAAGAUGCUGCAGGUGAGAUGGGACAGUGCUGGGCUCUGAGUAGGGGACGGAACGGAGGGAGGCUGUU